Molecule: ribosomal RNA, 440 nt
Filed under: uncultured bacterium
Lineage: Bacteria
Description: partial 16S ribosomal RNA
Rfam family: Bacterial small subunit ribosomal RNA
Source: RNAcentral
CCUACGGGAGGCAGCAGUGGGGAAUAUUGCACAAUGGGGGAAACCCUGAUGCAGCGACGCCACGUGAGUGAAGAAGUAAUUCGUUAUGUAAAGCUCUAUCAGCAGGGAAGAAAAUGACGGUACCUGAGUAAGAAGCCACGGCUAACUACGUGCCAGCAGCCGCGGUAAUACGUAGGGGGCAAGCGUUAUCCGGAUUUACGGGGUGUAAAGGGAGCGUAGACGGCAGUGCAAGUCUGGCGUGAAAGGCGGGGGCUCAACCCCCGGACUGCUCUUGAAACUGGACGGCUGGAGUGCAGGAGAGGUAAGUGGAAUUCCUAGUGUAGCGGUGAAAUGCGUAGAUAUUAGGAGGAACACCAGUGGCGAAGGCGGCUUACUGGACUGUAACUGACGUUGAGGCGCGAAAGCGUGGGUAGCAAACAGGAUUAGAUACCCCUGUAGUC